UCCAACACGGGAGGUGGGCGCCCAAGGGGGAGGUAGUUAGCCUACUUCAGUAAAUGUCUAGAUCCAGUUAGGGAAGGAGAAGAAUCUAACUGGUGGAGAGGGAGAGAUAGUGAGUGAAUGGAGAGGAGGGGCAUGCAAGAGAUAUGGGAACAAGGGAGAGGAAGAAGAAAAUCAAGUGAGGAAGAUGAGCCAUUAAUGGAGGGGCGAAGAAGACAGAUUGAGGAGGGUGGAGAAGCAAGAGAGAAGAGAGCAAGUGAAGGGGAAAACAUCUAAGGGAGAAGGAGGGGAGAAAGAGUGGCUGAUGCGCCUUAGCAGUAGCAUAGGGCAUAUGGCCGAGCUACUGCUAUGUUUUGUACCUAUAGCACGUGUGCUGAACCCCUUGCUGCUGAUAAGUGGGACCCACAUCUAGCCACCUCUAACUUUAGUGGCAGCGAUGGGUAUAUGACCAGCUCUACUGCUACAUAUAUACCUGUAGUGCUAGGCUCAGAUAGCAUGUUGCUAUUAUGGUUUGACCCAGGACCGACCACUACUAGAAAAACGGUUUUAGCAAUGACAUAUGUGGUUGUUAAAAGUUAAAAUGUGGUCGUUGAAAGUCA
Molecule: long non-coding RNA, 596 nt
Filed under: Hordeum vulgare
Lineage: Eukaryota; Viridiplantae; Streptophyta; Magnoliopsida; Poales; Poaceae
Description: long non-coding RNA (HVUL_LNC020710)
Source: RNAcentral